RNAcentral lists this ribosomal RNA (234 nucleotides) under uncultured bacterium. RNAcentral's name for it is "partial 16S ribosomal RNA". It matches the Rfam family "Bacterial small subunit ribosomal RNA", at positions 28 to 260 of the family's 1533-position model. The record is from RNAcentral.
GACGAGCGCUGGCGGCGUGCUUAACACAUGCAAGUCGAGCGGUAAGGCCCUUUCGGGGUACGACGAGCGGCGAACGGGUGGAGUAACACGUGGGUGACCUGCCCUCAGCUCUGGGAGUAAGCCUGGGAAACGUGGGUCUAACACUGGAUAUGACUCCACGGUGCAUGUCGUGGGGUGGAAAGCCUUGUGCGGCUGAGGAUGGGCCCGCGGCCUAUCAGCUUGUUGGGGGGGUGA